UCUUCCAAUCUAUAAGAUAAAGUGCUAGGGAUGGAGAGAAUACAUUUUAGAGUAGAAGGCCUAAAACGUCUUUAGAGUGUAUGGUCAGAAGUUUUGGAUGCUUUGUGGCCUUGGAGCAAAGUUACUUUUAAAAUUAAAUGUUGGGGUGACAUUAUUUAAUAGGACCACAUAAGU
Molecule: long non-coding RNA, 174 nt
Organism: Myotis brandtii (Brandt's bat)
Lineage: Eukaryota; Metazoa; Chordata; Mammalia; Chiroptera; Vespertilionidae
Exons: 3
Source: RefSeq, a predicted model, not a curated record